RNAcentral lists this ribosomal RNA (406 nucleotides) under uncultured bacterium. RNAcentral describes it as "partial 16S ribosomal RNA". It matches the Rfam family "Bacterial small subunit ribosomal RNA", at positions 30 to 526 of the family's 1533-position model. The record is from RNAcentral.
AUUGAACGCUGGCGGCAGGCCUAACACAUGCAAGUCGAGCGAGCGGCGGACGGGUGAGUAAUGGAUGGGGAACUGCCCGAUAGAGGGGGAUAAAUAAUGGAAACGGUGGCUAAUACCGCAUACUAUCAGAUGAACCCAGAUGGGCUUAGCGAGUAGGUGGGGUAAAGGCUAACCAAGGCGACGAUGUCUAGCUGGUCUGAGAGGAUGAUCAGCCACACUGGGACGGCGACACGGCCCAGACUCCUACGGGAGGCAGCAGUGGUGAAUAUUGCACAAUGGGCGCAAGCCUGAUGCAGCCAUGCAGCGUGUAUGAAGAAGGCUUUAGGGUUGUAAAGUACUUUCAUCGGGGAGGCGUUACCCGCAGAGGAAGCACCGGCUAACUCCGUGCCAGCAGCCGCGGUAAUUC